Molecule: microRNA precursor, 126 nt
Filed under: Myotis lucifugus (little brown bat)
Lineage: Eukaryota; Metazoa; Chordata; Mammalia; Chiroptera; Vespertilionidae
Description: mir-9193 microRNA precursor family
Rfam family: mir-9193 microRNA precursor family
Source: Rfam by way of RNAcentral
CAUGUACCAGCGGGGUCCCUCAGCCUGGCCUGUGGGAUCGGGCCGAAACCAACUCUCUGACAUCCCCCAAAGGGUCCCAAAUUGCGAGAGGGCACAGGCCAGGCUGAGGGACCCCACCGGUGCACU